Molecule: unclassified non-coding RNA, 305 nt
Filed under: uncultured fungus
Lineage: Eukaryota; Fungi
Description: partial contains 5.8S rRNA and ITS2
Source: RNAcentral
AAUGCAAGUUGCACCCGAGGCCUCGGCCGAGGGCAUGCCUACUUGGAUGCUAUACUCAACAAAUCACCCUCCCCAGGAGGAGCAGAGAUGGCCAUUCAUACCCACCCGUGACACGGUUGGCUAAAAAGCGCAUGAUCCCAUUCGCCAUUGUCAAGAUGAGCGAUGGACCCUACGGAUCGGUGUUGGUUGGUAUUUGGCGCAUGUCUACAUGUGGAACUUCAUCUCGGUGCAGGAAGCUUGAAUCUCUGUGCAUCCAUCGGCCAUACUUGCAUCCGCAAGUAGGUGUGAUUACCCACUGAGUUUAA